Molecule: non-coding RNA, 73 nt
Organism: Ovis aries (sheep)
Lineage: Eukaryota; Metazoa; Chordata; Mammalia; Artiodactyla; Bovidae
Source: Rfam
UCCCUGGUGGUCCAGUGGCUAAGACUCGGCAUUCCCAAUGCAGCGGGCCCGGAUUCAAUUCCUGGUCAGGGAA